AAACUUUCAACAACGGAUCUCUUGGUUCUGGCAUCGAUGAAGAACGCAGCGAAAUGCGAUAAGUAAUGUGAAUUGCAGAAUUCAGUGAAUCAUCGAAUCUUUGAACGCACAUUGCGCCUCCUGGUAUUCCGGGAGGCAUGCCUGUUCGAGCGUCAUUA
This 158-nucleotide ribosomal RNA is filed under the name Lophodermium nitens. RNAcentral's name for it is "5.8S ribosomal RNA". It matches the Rfam family "5.8S ribosomal RNA". Rfam says of the family: 5.8S ribosomal RNA (5.8S rRNA) is a component of the large subunit of the eukaryotic ribosome. It is transcribed by RNA polymerase I as part of the 45S precursor that also contains 18S and 28S rRNA. Lineage: Eukaryota; Fungi; Ascomycota; Leotiomycetes; Rhytismatales; Rhytismataceae. The record is from RNAcentral.